CCUACGGGGGGCUGCAGUGGGGAAUAUUGCACAAUGGGCGCAAGCCUGAUGCAGCCAUGCCGCGUGUGUGAAGAAGGCCUUCGGGUUGUAAAGCACUUUCAGCGGGGAGGAAGGCGGUGAGGUUAAUAACCUCAUCGAUUGACGUUACCCGCAGAAGAAGCACCGGCUAACUCCGUGCCAGCAGCCGCGGUAAUACGAAGGGUGCAAGCGUUAAUCGGAAUUACUGGGCGUAAAGCGCACGCAGGCGGUCUGUCAAGUCGGAUGUGAAAUCCCCGGGCUCAACCUGGGAACUGCAUUCGAAACUGGCAGGCUAGAGUCUUGUAGAGGGGGGUAGAAUUCCAGGUGUAGCGGUGAAAUGCGUAGAGAUCUGGAGGAAUACCGGUGGCGAAGGCGGCCCCCUGGACAAAGACUGACGCUCAGGUGCGAAAGCGUGGGGAGCAAACAGGAUUAGAUACCCGAGUAGUC
This 465-nucleotide ribosomal RNA is filed under the name uncultured Klebsiella sp. Its description in RNAcentral is "bacterial SSU rRNA". It matches the Rfam family "Bacterial small subunit ribosomal RNA", at positions 338 to 795 of the family's 1533-position model. The record is from RNAcentral. Lineage: Bacteria; Pseudomonadati; Pseudomonadota; Gammaproteobacteria; Enterobacterales; Enterobacteriaceae.